This is a non-coding RNA of Schistosoma curassoni, 45 nucleotides long. The record is from Rfam. Lineage: Eukaryota; Metazoa; Platyhelminthes; Trematoda; Strigeidida; Schistosomatidae.
AUGCAGCUGACGAGUCCCAAAUAGGACGAAAUGUGCGUCCUGGAU